UUGUGUGCAAUAUGUGAUUGGCUUUCUAUAAAAAAUGAACUUUGCUAAUGUACCUGUGUUGUAACGUCAUAAGUUCGCAAAAUUUCAAGGGUAUCAAAUUUUUAUGGAUAUGUGCUAUAGUUAAUUCUGGAAAACAAAAUUGAGGAAAAAAUAAGAAUGUGACCAAGCAAAUGGGAAGGGCAUGGGAGACAAUAAACCGGAACAAAAUCGAUUGGAGAACUCAUUGACACUGGCAAUGCCAGAGAGAGGGUUGCCAACGUUAAAAUAAUAAAAUAAUUCUGUUGUGAGGUGCGGAGUUAGAAGGAUUUUUAAUUUGACAUCAACGGCUUCUAUUAGCGGCCCAGCUGCCAAAAGCAAUAAUAUAUGGAAAAAUUUCGAUUAGACAAAGGAGUUCGUACAUAAUAUUUUAAUGGAGAUGAGAGAUGUGGGUCGAUCAUAUAUUUCCAUAGGCGUAACUGCGGAUACGGUCAGGGAGUGUAAAAGAGCCAAGCCAGAUAGAAGAACCCGCAUAUUAGUUAUCGGAUUAUAAAUAAAUUUUAAUUAAGAAAAAACUUUUCUACAAGCUGGGCUGCGUCGACACGUUGCGCCCGAAAAAAUAGCUCCCAUAAUUCUCAAGGCACUUGCUCACAUUAUACACGAGUGUAGUAUACCAUUUUAUACAUAAUCUAUGUAACAAUUGAAAGAAUUGUGCGAGGAUAUCGAAACGGAAGCAAAGCCCUACAGAUUCUACUCCAAAAAUCCCGCUAACGCUAUGAGAAAGAGUUGGAUAAUUUUUACAAAAAAAAAAAAACAUCCUUAUGAGGUAGCAUUUAUUUGCAUUUUUAUAUUUUUUAAGCGAUAAUUAUGAAACAUAAUAAAAUUGUUAAAAUAUUACAAAGCACAAAGGAAAACUACCUCCAUGUUCAGUUUUGGUUAGCUCUUUAUUAAGACCUUCGGAUUUUUGUCUGACAUUAAAUGGACCGUUGAUAGUUUUGGUUAGUUUACGACAGAUUGAAUUUCAAUUCAACUCGUCCCUGGUUGUUCCUUUUUGUCGACAUUGACAUUGGCACAGGUUGCAGACUACGUACGUCUUGUUCAUUUGUUAUAAAAAAAACCAAGUGUCCAUGUAAAUAUACAGAAUUUUCCAUAGUUCCCCUGAAAGUCGGUAAAUAAUAGAACGUCUGCGCCCCUGUUUAUAAUGAUCAAUUAUCAUUUCCAUUUAUUUCGUAAUUUGCCGGCCCAUAUGUAGUCAAACCGUUCAUUUGUGAUAAACGUGCGAUAUUUUACGGUAGUAAUUUCCGCUUUUUAAGAAAUAACAAGGUACUUGAGAAAUUCUUGCCGGCAAGUUACAAUGCCUGCUUUAUUUCGUUCGUAAUAAGUUUUACGGUAAAUAAUAUCGAACAUCAGACUACUGUGGAACAUUAUGAGGGUACGAGAUUAUAGGUGAACUCUUUUAUGGGGUGCUUUAUGUUAUAUUGCCCACAGUUUUUGCGGCAGUAAAACUCGCAUUUGACAAGGUACCUGUCUCGCGCACGCGAAAUUGCUGAUUUUAUAACGAUAAAAACAAAUGUUAUUAAUGCGCUUCGGUGUCUUCAAAGUGUUAGUAUAAUUUAUUUAGAUAAUAGGGGCGAUUGGAACGGCUGCCCGCACCGACUACCAUCUUUGUUUGCUCAGUAAAGUAUCUCAA
Long non-coding RNA from Cylas formicarius (sweet potato weevil), 1666 nucleotides. RefSeq lists it as uncharacterized. The transcript is spliced from 3 exons. NCBI's taxonomy places the organism in Eukaryota, Metazoa, Arthropoda, Insecta, Coleoptera, Brentidae. The record is from RefSeq and is a predicted model, not a curated record.